AGACUAGGGUUUGGAGCAUGAUACAAGGUUCUGAAUAAGAGAGGUUGGAAUGAGCAAAAUGAGAAUCAAAUAUCAUGUUAUACCAUUGCUUGCAUACCACCCUUAAAUUGUACAAAGUAUCAGCUUCAAGUCUCUUGAGGAUGUCAAAGAUGAUAUUCUCAU
This is a long non-coding RNA of Telopea speciosissima, 162 nucleotides long. RefSeq lists it as uncharacterized. The record is from RefSeq and is a predicted model, not a curated record. NCBI's taxonomy places the organism in Eukaryota, Viridiplantae, Streptophyta, Magnoliopsida, Proteales, Proteaceae. The transcript is spliced from 2 exons.